This 1097-nucleotide long non-coding RNA is filed under the name Trifolium pratense (red clover). RNAcentral describes it as "long non-coding RNA (TPRA_LNC006769)". The record is from RNAcentral. Lineage: Eukaryota; Viridiplantae; Streptophyta; Magnoliopsida; Fabales; Fabaceae.
UCGGCAGUUCGUCAUUCAAUAGAAAAUAAAUAUAACAUCAACACAUUAUAUUACAGGGCUUCCUCGAAGCAAAGUGUGUACCUGAAUAAUUUACAUACAGCGGAUACAUUAAGUUCAUCAACCAAAAGACACGAGUUAUGUACCGAAUAUAUCACAAGGCCAAAAGGCACUAAACAUGUCUGAGUAUAAAUGUAUAAGACAUACAGUCAUCCAAAAUACAAACUAGGCCCUAAGCCUAACCAAAAUGUAGCCUAACAAGUGCUAACAUCUACUCUCCGGCAUAAUCUACGAAGUCCUCGCCAUCCACACGACCCACAGUCUCUCUUGGCUCUCCGUCAUCUAAGGUGGGGGAUAACCCGUUCAUUUAUCACAUACAAAGCAAGGGUCACCAUCUGGAAACAGGAAAUACAAAUACCAAAUACCAAAUAGAAAGCGGCUAAACACUUAUCAUUUUCCUCAACACACGCAUAGUAAAUAAAAUGCGCACAUAGCCUAAUGCAAACCUCUAAUGAAUGAGUGUGGCACCCCGUCACAGGAUCGCCACGAUAACACCCCGUCACAGGAUCGUUACAUGCAUGAAUUAUUUCCGGAAAUAUCCUCUCAUAAAGGAGAGUCGUAGGUCUCUAGCAACACCCCGUCACAGGAUCGUUGCCUCUACUAUCAUCAAUACAANNNNNNNNNNCGCGCAACCACGUACUAUGAGUGCAUGAGCAUACGAUACCCCUAUCUAUGCCAUUUCAACACAUUACAUAUAUUCCAAACCAAAUUAUAUGUAAGACCAAAAGCAACAUGUAUUCAUUACGAACUCUACUCGAGAAUACAUUCACAACGUACCAAGCACAAAAGCCCAAUCGAGCACAACAAGCAAGCAACCACAACAAGAAAGCAACCAAGCACAACAAGAAAGCAACCAAGCACAACAAGAAAGCAUACCCUAAUGCUAUCGACGGAAUUUAAAUACGGAAAUAAAAACGGUGCCCUUACCUCGACAAUGCUUCCAACCAAAAACCACAACGUUUCACACUAUCUAUCGUUUCGCGUUUCCUAAAAAUAACGAGCGGACAAUGAAUAAGUUUCUCCCAAAAUAUCUUAACGAA